RNAcentral lists this ribosomal RNA (787 nucleotides) under uncultured euryarchaeote. RNAcentral describes it as "bacterial SSU rRNA". It matches the Rfam family "Archaeal small subunit ribosomal RNA", at positions 41 to 821 of the family's 1478-position model. The record is from RNAcentral. Lineage: Archaea; Methanobacteriati; Methanobacteriota.
AGGCGCCGCCAGUUGUGAUGGAAUAUUCUGCAAGAAAUCGCCCCUACGGGCUCAGUAAACACGUCGAAUAAUCUACCUUAGAUCUGGAAUAAGCUUCGGGAAACUGAAAGGUAAAUCCCGAAUGGAAAUCAAAAAUUGGAAAUUUCGAUUUCUAAAAAUGCAAAGUCUAAAGGAUGAGUCGGCGCCCGAUUAGGUUGUUGGUGGGGGUAAAGGCCCCACCCAAGCCAGGGAUCGGUAGGGGUCUUGAGAGAGAUAGCCUCGAGAAGGGCACUGAAACACGGGCCCUAGCCCCACGGGGUGCAGCAGGCGCGAAAACUUUACACUGCACGAAAGUGCGAUAAGGGUAACUCGAGUGCUCAUGUUUUACAUGGGCUUUUGCCAAGUGUAAACAGCUUGGCGAGUAAGUGGUGGGCAAGACUGGUGCCAGCAGCCGCGGUAACCCCAGCGCCACAAGUGGCAAUCACAUUUAUUGGGCCUAAAGCGUCCGUAGCUUGUUUAGUAAAUCUUUUGUGAAAUCAUUGGGCUUAACCCAAUGGAGGGCAAAAGACACUGCUAGACUUGAGACUGGGAGGAGUUGAGGGUAUUCUCGGUGGAGCGGUAAAAUGUUAUAAUCCCGAGAGGACCACCCGUGGCGGAGGCGCUCAACUAGAACAGUUCUGACGGUGAGGGACGAAAGCCAGGGGAGCAAACCGGAUUAGAUACCCGAGUAGUCCUGGCUGUAAACGCUGCGAGCUAGGUGUUGCAUAAUCUACGAGAUUAUGCAGUGUCGAAGUGAAGACGAUAAGCU